Molecule: long non-coding RNA, 468 nt
Organism: Ipomoea triloba (trilobed morning glory)
Lineage: Eukaryota; Viridiplantae; Streptophyta; Magnoliopsida; Solanales; Convolvulaceae
Exons: 4
Source: RefSeq, a predicted model, not a curated record
GAAAUAUCACCAGCAAAACACUGCAUACGAGCUGAAUUCUUUGUCCACACAAUGGAGUGAGCUCUGUUUGUAAAAUACAGAAAUCCAAGCUGCAUGUUAUCAGAUUCAAAAUCAUAUUGAAAGGCUGAAGGAGGAAGCUAAAGAGAGAGGCUGGGAUCUGGAAAGUAAAAUGGAGAAUGGUUCAUUGUUCUCUGCAGAAAAGUGAGUUGUGGCAUACAGCUCUCCCAAAGAAGAUCCCGGGCUUAGUAUGUCUGAGAAGAAGCUUAUCAUCGGUGGAGGCAUAUCAAAAGAAUCUGUGACCAACAUUACAUGGAGGCUUAGUAUGUCUGGGCUUUCACUGUCUGCAAGGCAAGGACACCAUGUCAUUCUCACUUUGAUCUUGUAAUGCAGUUUUUUAUUUGUGCUUUUCUUUCACAUCCUUUUAGUCCUGUAUGUUUCAUGUGGUACACAAAGUGUAGAUUCCUAGCU